RNAcentral lists this ribosomal RNA (443 nucleotides) under uncultured bacterium. RNAcentral describes it as "partial 16S ribosomal RNA". It matches the Rfam family "Bacterial small subunit ribosomal RNA", at positions 338 to 795 of the family's 1533-position model. The record is from RNAcentral.
CCUACGGGAGGCUGCAGUGGGGAAUAUUGGGCAAUGGAGGCAACUCUGACCCAGCAACGCCGCGUGAGUGAUGAAGGUCUUCGGAUUGUAAAACUCUUUAAGUGGGGACGAAGAAAGUGACUGUACCCACAGAAUAAGCCUCGGCUAACUACGUGCCAGCAGCCGCGGUAAUACGUAGGGGGCAAGCGUUAUCCGGAUUUACUGGGUGUAAAGGGAGCGUAGACGGCGACGCAAGUCUGAAGUGAAAUGCCAGUGCUCAACACUGGAACUGCUUUGGAAACUGUGUGGCUAGAGUGCAGGAGAGGUAAGUGGAAUUCCUAGUGUAGCGGUGAAAUGCGUAGAUAUUAGGAGGAACACCAGUGGCGAAGGCGGCUUACUGGACUGUAACUGACGUUGAGGCUCGAAGGCGUGGGGAGCAAACAGGAUUAGAUACCCUUGUAGUC